AGAGCGAACGCUGGCGGCAGGCUUAACACAUGCAAGUCGAGCGGGCGUAGCAAUACGUCAGCGGCAGACGGGUGAGUAACGCGUGGGAACGUACCUUUUGGUUCGGAACAACACAGGGAAACUUGUGCUAAUACCGGAUAAGCCCUUACGGGGAAAGAUUUAUCGCCGAAAGAUCGGCCCGCGUCUGAUUAGCUAGUUGGUGAGGUAACGGCUCACCAAGGCGACGAUCAGUAGCUGGUCUGAGAGGAUGAUCAGCCACAUUGGGACUGAGACACGGCCCAAACUCCUACGGGAGGCAGCAGUGGGGAAUAUUGGACAAUGGGCGCAAGCCUGAUCCAGCCAUGCCGCGUGAGUGAUGAAGGCCCUAGGGUUGUAAAGCUCUUUUGUGCGGGAAGAUAAUGACGGUACCGCAAGAAUAAGCCCCGACUAACUUCGUGCCAGCAGCCGC
This 448-nucleotide ribosomal RNA is filed under the name uncultured bacterium. RNAcentral describes it as "SSU rRNA". It matches the Rfam family "Bacterial small subunit ribosomal RNA", at positions 26 to 518 of the family's 1533-position model. The record is from RNAcentral.